GACGAACGCUGGCGGCGUGCUUAACACAUGCAAGUCGAACGGAAAGGCCCUGCUUUUGUGGGGUGCUCGAGUGGCGAACGGGUGAGUAACACGUGAGUAACCUGCCCUUGACUUUGGGAUAACUUCAGGAAACUGGGGCUAAUACCGGAUAGGAGCUCCUGCUGCAUGGUGGGGGUUGGAAAGUUUCGGCGGUUGGGGAUGGACUCGCGGCUUAUCAGCUUGUUGGUGGGGUAGUGGCUUACCAAGGCUUUGACGGGUAGCCGGCCUGAGAGGGUGACCGGGCACAUUGGGACUGGGGAACGGCCCAGGCUGCUACGGGGAGCAACAGGGGGGAAUAUUGCACAACGGGGCGGAGCCUUAUGCAGCAACGCCGGGGUCGGGAAGAAGGCCUUCCGGGUGGAAACCGCUUUCAGCUGGUACGAAGCGUUAGUGACGGUAAUGGGUAAAGAAGCACCGGCUAACUACGUG
Molecule: ribosomal RNA, 468 nt
Filed under: uncultured bacterium
Lineage: Bacteria
Description: partial 16S ribosomal RNA
Rfam family: Bacterial small subunit ribosomal RNA
Source: RNAcentral